GUUUUAGUAAUUUAUAUAAAAUAUUGGUCUUGUAAAUCAAAAAAAAAGAAUCUUUCUAAAACU
RNAcentral lists this transfer RNA (63 nucleotides) under Chaetocnema scheffleri. Its description in RNAcentral is "tRNA-Thr". The record is from RNAcentral. Lineage: Eukaryota; Metazoa; Arthropoda; Insecta; Coleoptera; Chrysomelidae.